RNAcentral lists this ribosomal RNA (468 nucleotides) under uncultured bacterium. RNAcentral describes it as "partial 16S ribosomal RNA". It matches the Rfam family "Bacterial small subunit ribosomal RNA", at positions 28 to 507 of the family's 1533-position model. The record is from RNAcentral.
GAUGAACGCUGGCGGCGUGCUUAACACAUGCAAGUCGAACGGAAAGGCCCAAGCUUGCUUGGGUACUCGAGUGGCGAACGGGUGAGUAACACGUGGGUGAUCUGCCCUGCACUUCGGGAUAAGCCUGGGAAACUGGGUCUAAUACCGGAUAGGACGAUGGUUUGGAUGCCAUUGUGGAAAGUUUUUUCGGUGUGGGAUGAGCUCGCGGCCUAUCAGCUUGUUGGUGGGGUAAUGGCCUACCAAGGCGUCGACGGGUAGCCGGCCUGAGAGGGUGUACGGCCACAUUGGGACUGAGAUACGGCCCAGACUCCUACGGGAGGCAGCAGUGGGGAAUAUUGCACAAUGGGCGCAAGCCUGAUGCAGCGACGCCGCGUGGGGGAUGACGGCCUUCGGGUUGUAAACUCCUUUCGCUAGGGACGAAGCGUUCUUGUGACGGUACCUGGAGAAGAAGCACCGGCUAACUACGUG